Molecule: transfer RNA, 85 nt
Filed under: Actinomycetota bacterium
Lineage: Bacteria; Bacillati; Actinomycetota
Description: tRNA-Leu
Rfam family: tRNA
About the family: Transfer RNA (tRNA) molecules are approximately 80 nucleotides in length. Their secondary structure includes four short double-helical elements and three loops (D, anti-codon, and T loops). Further hydrogen bonds mediate the characteristic L-shaped molecular structure. tRNAs have two regions of fundamental functional importance: the anti-codon, which is responsible for specific mRNA codon recognition, and the 3' end, to which the tRNAs corresponding amino acid is attached (by aminoacyl-tRNA synthetases). tRNAs cope with the degeneracy of the genetic code in two manners: having more than one tRNA (with a specific anti-codon) for a particular amino acid; and 'wobble' base-pairing, i.e. permitting non-standard base-pairing at the 3rd anti-codon position.
Source: RNAcentral
GCCGGCGUGAUGGAACCUGGCAGACAUGAUGCCCUCAAAAGGCAUUGGGCCUCGGCCCGUGUGGGUUCGAAUCCCACCGCCGGCA